This 250-nucleotide ribosomal RNA is filed under the name uncultured bacterium. RNAcentral describes it as "partial 16S ribosomal RNA". It matches the Rfam family "Bacterial small subunit ribosomal RNA", at positions 524 to 773 of the family's 1533-position model. The record is from RNAcentral.
UACAGAGACUCCAAGCGUUAUUCGGAUUCACUGGGCGUAAAGGGAGCGCAGGCGGCCAGAUGUGUCAGAUGUGAAAUACUGCAGCUUAACUGUAGAACUGCAUUUGAAACUAUCUGGCUAGAGUAUCGGAGAGGUAAGCGGAAUUCCAGGUGUAGCAGUGAAAUGCGUAGAUAUCUGGAGGAACACCAAUGGCGAAGGCAGCUUACUGGACGAUUACUGACGCUCAGGCUCGAAAGCAUGGGGAGCGAAA